AUGCGAACACAAACUUCAGGCAUCCAAGAAAGAAGUCAAGAUCGAAAUCGAAGCAUUGUCAUUGGGUUGAAGAUCAAUUCAUAUCGACAAGACUUUCCAUUCAUCUUUUUGUUGAUAUUUGGAUUCCGUUUUCAAAUAAAGUCAUCUUGUAGUUAGAAAUCACCUUUAGAAUCAUCA
Molecule: ribosomal RNA, 177 nt
Filed under: Triticum aestivum (bread wheat)
Lineage: Eukaryota; Viridiplantae; Streptophyta; Magnoliopsida; Poales; Poaceae
Description: partial small subunit ribosomal RNA
Source: RNAcentral